Molecule: small nuclear RNA, 126 nt
Organism: Myotis lucifugus (little brown bat)
Lineage: Eukaryota; Metazoa; Chordata; Mammalia; Chiroptera; Vespertilionidae
Product: U4atac minor spliceosomal RNA
Source: Ensembl
ACCAUUCUUUCCCUGGGGUUGCACUACUAUCCAAUGAAUGUCUAGUGAAGGCAGUACUGCUAACACCUAAACAACACAUUCGCAUCAGGUGGGGCUCUGCUUUACCUUGGUGCAAUUUUUGGAAAA